AGAAUCCAAAUUUAGGAUGUUGGAAAGGAGGAAGGUUGGGGAGUGGAGGGCAGGGUUUCUUAUAGAAUGGUGGGAGUGGUUUAUAAAUUGGAAUUGGAGGUGGAAGUGGCUUUACUAUUGGAGGAAUGUAAAUUGGUGGCUUUGGCUUGUAGAUUGGAAUUGGAGGUGGAAGUGGCUUUACUAUUGGAGGGAUGUAAAUUGGUGGCUUUGGCUUGUAGAUUGGAACUGGUGGUGGUAGUGGCUUUACUACCGGGGGUAUGUAAACCGGUGGCUUUGGCUUGUAGGUUGGAACUGGUGGUGGUAGUGGCUUUAUUAUCGGAGGUAUGUAAAUCGGUGGCUUUGGCUUUGGUUUGUAGAUAGGAACUGGUGGUGGAAGAGGCUUUACUACCGGAGGUUUGUAAACUGGUGGCUUUGGCUUUGGUUUGUAGAUUGGAACUGGUGGUGGAAGCGGCUUUACUGGAGGCUUUGGCUUGUAAAUAGGGACAGGUGGAGGAAGUGGCUUUGGUUUGUAAAUGGGGACGGGUGGAGGAAGCGGCUUUUUGUAAAUGGGAACUGGGGGAGGAA
This 564-nucleotide long non-coding RNA is filed under the name Olea europaea (common olive). RNAcentral describes it as "long non-coding RNA (OEUR_LNC000980)". The record is from RNAcentral. Lineage: Eukaryota; Viridiplantae; Streptophyta; Magnoliopsida; Lamiales; Oleaceae.